Molecule: ribosomal RNA, 119 nt
Filed under: Nicotiana sylvestris (wood tobacco)
Lineage: Eukaryota; Viridiplantae; Streptophyta; Magnoliopsida; Solanales; Solanaceae
Source: RNAcentral
GGAUGCAAUCAUACCAGCACUAAUGCACCGGAUCCCAUCAGAACUCCAAAGUCAAGCGUGCUUGGGCGAGAGUAGUACUAGGAUGGGUGACCCCCUGGGAAGUCCACGUGUUGCAUCCC